Molecule: ribosomal RNA, 425 nt
Filed under: uncultured soil bacterium
Lineage: Bacteria
Description: bacterial SSU rRNA
Rfam family: Bacterial small subunit ribosomal RNA
Source: RNAcentral
AGAUUGAACGCUGGCGGCAGGCCUAACACAUGCAAGUCGAGCGGCAGCACGGGUACUUGUACCUGGUGGCGAGCGGCGGACGGGUGAGUAGUGCCUAGGAAUCUGCCUGAUAGUGGGGGAUAACGCUCGGAAACGGACGCUAAUACCGCAUACGUCCUACGGGAGAAAGCAGGGGACCUUCGGGCCUUGCGCUAUCAGAUGAGCCUAGGUCGGAUUAGCUAGUUGGUGGGGUAAUGGCUCACCAAGGCGACGAUCCGUAACUGGUCUGAGAGGAUGAUCAGUCACACUGGAACUGAGACACGGUCCAGACUCCUACGGGAGCAGCAGUGGGGAAUAUUGGACAAGUGGGACGAAAGCCGUAGAUCCAGCCAGUCGCGCGUGUGUGAAGAGUCUCGGAUUAGUAAGCUACUUUAAGUGGAAGGAGG